AUGCCAUGAUGUGGACACUUGACCAACAUACCUUUGAACUUCUCCCAUGUUUUUUGUAGUGUUUCUGUUGAUCUUUGUCUGAAGCUCAAUAUCUCAUCAACUUGUUU
Molecule: non-coding RNA, 107 nt
Organism: Nicotiana sylvestris (wood tobacco)
Lineage: Eukaryota; Viridiplantae; Streptophyta; Magnoliopsida; Solanales; Solanaceae
Source: Rfam